This 1038-nucleotide ribosomal RNA is filed under the name Bacillus cereus. Its description in RNAcentral is "bacterial LSU rRNA". It matches the Rfam family "Bacterial large subunit ribosomal RNA", at positions 612 to 1664 of the family's 2925-position model. Lineage: Bacteria; Bacillati; Bacillota; Bacilli; Caryophanales; Bacillaceae. The record is from RNAcentral.
AGAAUGAACCGGCGAGUUACGUUAUGAUGCGAGGUUAAGUUGAAGAGACGGAGCCGUAGGGAAACCGAGUCUGAAUAGGGCGACUUAGUAUCAUGAUGUAGACCCGAAACCUAGUGACCUAUCCAUGAGCAGGGUGAAGGUGUGGUAAGACGCACUGGAGGCCCGAACCAGGACACGUUGAAAAGUGUUUGGAUGACUUGUGGAUAGCGGAGAAAUUCCAAACGAACUGGGAGAUAGCUGGUUCUCUCCGAAAUAGCUUUAGGGCUAGCGUCGAAAUGUAAGUGUAUUGGAGGUAGAGCACUGUUUGGGUGAGGGGUCCGUCUAGGAUUACCAAUCUCAGAUAAACUCCGAAUGCUAAUACACAUGUUCGGCAGUCAGACUGCGAGUGCUAAGAUCCGUAGUCGAAAGGGAAACAGCCCAGACCAACAGCUAAGGUCCCAAAAUAUAUGUUAAGUGGAAAAGGAUGUGGGGUUGCACAGACAACUAGGAUGUUAGCUCAGAAGCAGCUAUCAUUCAAAGAGUGCGUAAUAGCUCACNNNNNNNNNNCGAAAAUGUACCGGGGCUAAACAUAUUACCGAAGCUUUGGAUUGAUAUUUUAUCAAUGGUAGGAGAGCGUUCUUAACCGCGAUGAAGGUAUACCGUGAGGAGUGCUGGAGCGUUAAGAAGUGAGAAUGCCGGUAUGAGUAGCGCAAGAUAAGUGAGAAUCUUAUCCACCGUAAGACUAAGGUUUCCAGGGGAAGGCUCGUCCGCCCUGGGUUAGUCGGGACCUAAGGCGAGGCCGAAAGGCGUAGUCGAUGGACAACUGGUUGAUAUUCCAGUACUAGAUAUGAUCGUGAUGGAGGGACGCAGUAGGCUAAGAGAUGCCAGUUAAUGGAUUCUGGUCUAAGCAGUGAGGUGUGAGAUGUGUCAAAUGCAUUUCUCUUUAACAUUGAGCUGUGAUGGGGAAGCAACUACGGUUGCGAACUCUCUGAUGUCACACUGCCAAGAAAAGCUUCUAGCGUAAAGUCAUAUCUACCCGUACCGCAAACCGACACAGGU